This 763-nucleotide long non-coding RNA is filed under the name Helianthus annuus (common sunflower). RNAcentral's name for it is "hypothetical non coding rna". The record is from RNAcentral. Lineage: Eukaryota; Viridiplantae; Streptophyta; Magnoliopsida; Asterales; Asteraceae.
GUCAAACGGAACAAAUCUCAAGAUCUUUUUUAUUAGGAUAAAAAAAUUCAUUUAUUUUAUCAUCUUUUUGAAGCUGCCCUUUCCACCACCAUCACCUACCAGUAACACAAUAGGUUCUGCACCAUUCAUAGAUAAAAAACCAAAGCUUUGUUUGCAUCUCUUUCUCUCUUAUGAAGCUUGUAAUCCUAAAAGUUUUGGUCCACUUAUUUUAAUUUUGUUUUUGGUUUUUGCUAUGAAAUUUGUAAUCUGGAUGGGUUAUCGGGAACGAAGAAGGAGAUUCGAGUGUAGAACCACCGCGGCUAUGGCUCCAACGACUUCAUAUUUUUAGCUCGGAAAGCCGAAGAGAGGGAAAGUAGAUGAUGGAGCGGCUGUAAUGGUGGUGGUUCUGGUUCCAUCGUUGAUGGUCGGCCGGACCGGAGGUGGUACAACGUUAUGUGGUGGCUGAGGUGAUGGUGGCCGGGAACUCAAAUAAGGUUGCACCAUACCAUUCGCUACCGCUCGCUGCCGCUCUUCUUUAUACGAUCUUUCAACUUUUCCGAUUCACUUUCUCAGAGUGAUGCAUUUGAUGGUGUAAUUUUUAGAGAGAGAAAGAUGAAAGAGAAAAGUGAAAUAUGGUGGAAACAAUGAUUUAUGCCGGUAUUAUGAAUUUAUGAUGCUGUUGUGUGAAAUUGUAAAAUGAGAAAAUUAAAUGUGGCUAAAAUCUAAAAGCUCAAAAGUCACUGGCGCAAUCAUACGAUGUGUUUUGAUAUAUAUAAUAAAAUUC